This 452-nucleotide ribosomal RNA is filed under the name uncultured bacterium. Its description in RNAcentral is "bacterial SSU rRNA". It matches the Rfam family "Bacterial small subunit ribosomal RNA", at positions 365 to 807 of the family's 1533-position model. The record is from RNAcentral.
UUCGCAAUGCCCGAAAGGGUGACGAAGCGACGCCGCGUGUGGGAAGAAGGCCUUCGGGUUGUAAACCACUGUCGGGAGUUAAGAAAUGCAAGGAUAUUAAUAGUGUCUUUGCUUGACUAAGGCUCCGGAGGAAGCCACGGCUAACUCUGUGCCAGCAGCCGCGGUAAUACAGAGGCGGCAAGCGUUGUUCGGAAUUAUUGGGCGUAAAGAGCACGUAGGCGGCUAUGUAAGUCGGUUGUGAAAGCCUUCCGCUCAACGGGAGAACAGCAUCCGAUACUACAUGGCUUGAGUGCGGGAGGGGAGAGUGGAACUUCUGGUGGAGCGGUGAAAUGCGUAGAUAUCAGAAGGAACACCGGCGGCGAAGGCGACUCUCUGGUCCGUAACUGACGCUGAGUGUGCGAAAGCUAGGGGAGCAAACGGGAUUAGAUACCCCGGUAGUCCUAGCCGUAAAC